RNAcentral lists this ribosomal RNA (497 nucleotides) under uncultured bacterium. RNAcentral's name for it is "partial 16S ribosomal RNA". It matches the Rfam family "Bacterial small subunit ribosomal RNA", at positions 28 to 523 of the family's 1533-position model. The record is from RNAcentral.
GAUGAACGCUGGCGGCGUGCUUAACACAUGCAAGUCGAACGAAGCAUAAGGAAGCGAUUUCUUCGGAAUGAAUGAACUUAUGACUGAGUGGCGGACGGGUGAGUAACGCGUGGGUAACCUACCUCAUACAGGGGGAUAACAGUUAGAAAUGACUGCUAAUACCGCAUAAGCGCACAGAACCACAUGGUUCGGUGUGAAAAACUCCGGUGGUAUGAGAUGGACCCGCGUCUGAUUAGCUAGUUGGUAAGGUAAUGGCUUACCAAGGCGACGAUCAGUAGCCGACCUGAGAGGGUGAUCGGCCACAUUGGGACUGAGACACGGCCCAAACUCCUACGGGAGGCAGCAGUGGGGAAUAUUGCACAAUGGGGGAAACCCUGAUGCAGCGACGCCGCGUGAAGGAUGAAGUGUUUCGGCAUGUAAACUUCUAUCAGCAGGGAAGAAAAUGACGGUACCUGACUAAGAAGCUCCGGCUAACUACGUGCCAGCAGCCGCAGUAA